RNAcentral lists this ribosomal RNA (396 nucleotides) under uncultured bacterium. Its description in RNAcentral is "partial 16S ribosomal RNA". It matches the Rfam family "Bacterial small subunit ribosomal RNA", at positions 523 to 918 of the family's 1533-position model. The record is from RNAcentral.
AUACGUAGGGAGCGAGCGUUGUCCGGAAUUACUGGGUGUAAAGGGAGCGUAGGCGGGACUGCAAGUCAGAUGUGAAAUACCGGGGCUUAACCCCGGAGCUGCAUUUGAAACUGUGGUUCUUGAGUGAAGUAGAGGCAAGCGGAAUUCCUGGUGUAGCGGUGAAAUGCGUAGAUAUCAGGAGGAACACCGGUGGCGAAGGCGGCUUGCUGGGCUUUUACUGACGCUGAGGCUCGAAAGCGUGGGUAGCAAACAGGAUUAGAUACCCUGGUAGUCCACGCUGUAAACGAUGAUUACUAGGUGUGGGGGGAUUGACCCCUUCCGUGCCGCAGUUAAUACAAUAAGUAAUCCACCUGGGGAGUACGGCCGCAAGGUUGAAACUCAAAUGAAUUGACGGGG